This is a long non-coding RNA of Ictalurus punctatus (channel catfish), 1072 nucleotides long. The record is from Ensembl. Lineage: Eukaryota; Metazoa; Chordata; Actinopteri; Siluriformes; Ictaluridae.
GGAGAACGCAGUGAGGAUGUCUACAGAAGAGUACGACUGCUGGCUGCGUGGUAAAAUCGACAUUCCAUAGAGUGUAAAAGACAACAGAGGAUUUCUCUAACCCGUCUGGUCCGAUCCCACAGAAGAGCUACCGUAGCAGUGUGACGCUCUGGGUAAUGUUCUGCUGGGAAACCUUGGGUCCUGGCGUUCAUGUGGAUGUUACUCUGACACGUACCACCUACCUAGACGUCGCUGCAACCCGAGUACACACCUUCAUGGCGACGGUAUUCCCUAAUAGCAGUGUCCUCUUUCAGCAGGAUGAUGCGCCCUGACACACUGCAAACAUUGUUCAGGAACGGUCUGAGGAACAUGACGAAGAGUUCAAGGUGUUGACUCCGAUCUCAGUCCGAUCAGGCCUCUGUGGGACGAGUCCGAUCCAUGGAGGCCCCACCUCACAACCUACGGGACUAGUUGUACAGGAUCUGCUGCUAACGUCUCUAUGCCAGAUACCACAGCACACCUUCAGAGGUCUUGUGGAGUCCGUGCCUCGACGGGUCACAGCUAUUUUGGUGGCACAAGGUGGACGUACACAAUAUUAGGCUUCCUCAUCUCGAAAGGGAAAACCGAGACAUUUUCACCCUGAAGGGGUUUUCCCUGUAUAGCGAUGGACAGAAACAGGUGGGAUCCGGCUUUUAAUUUAAGCCCGGACUUCACCGUACGGGACACGGCAGCAUCAGCAGGGACAAGAUGGCACGGACAGAAAGUCCCACCGCUGACAUGUGAUCUCCCGCCGGUGUUCUCCACAGUGAAACCGUCCCUCGUCUGUAUCUCUACACUCUCGUCACCGUCCGGAACGUACCGCGUGACGCCGAAGAGCGUGGGCCGAUUUCUCGCCGGUUUCUUUACUUGGCGAUAAAAGAAACCGCAUCGGUCGUAUUUCUUUCGUCAAAACACACAGGCAGAGUGAAACUCGCUGCGUCAGAAACCCCAAACCUCAUUUCCUGCCACAGGAAGUUCACGACUAAUUAUACUGCAGUGUGAACGCACAGAGGCGUGGCGGUGCAAAAUAAAAUGUGAAGUCAAGUCGACGGGC